CCUACGGGCGGCAGCAGUGGGGAAUAUUGGACAAUGGGCGAAAGCCUGAUCCAGCCAUGCCGCGUGUGUGAAGAAGGCCUUCGGGUUGUAAAGCACUUUCAGUGGGGAAGAAAGCCUUGGGGCUAAUACCCUCGAGGAAGGACAUCACCCACAGAAGAAGCACCGGCUAACUCCGUGCACAGCAGCCGCGGUAAUACGGAGGGUGCGAGCGUUAAUCGGAAUUACUGGGCGUAAAGCGCGCGUAGGCGGUCUGAUAAGCCGGUUGUGAAAGCCCCGGGCUCAACCUGGGAACGGCAUCCGGAACUGUCAGGCUAGAGUGCAGGAGAGGAAGGUAGAAUUCCCGGUGUAGCGGUGAAAUGCGUAGAGAUCGGGAGGAAUACCAGUGGCGAAGGCGGCCUUCUGGACUGACACUGACGCUGAGGUGCGAAAGCGUGGGUAGCAAACAGGAUUAGAUACCCUGGUAGUC
RNAcentral lists this ribosomal RNA (466 nucleotides) under Vreelandella stevensii. RNAcentral describes it as "partial 16S ribosomal RNA". It matches the Rfam family "Bacterial small subunit ribosomal RNA", at positions 338 to 795 of the family's 1533-position model. Lineage: Bacteria; Pseudomonadati; Pseudomonadota; Gammaproteobacteria; Oceanospirillales; Halomonadaceae. The record is from RNAcentral.